GCAAUGCGCCUUUGCAACAGAGAGGAGAUCUGCUCAUCCCACAUUUGGAGCACCCGUGGGAGUGGAGCAGGGAAGAUUUCUGGGAAACAGUGUGUGAAUUAAAUCACGAAAAUGAGUAGGAGUCUGCUACAUGAGUAAGGGAGGGAAGAAAAGUCAGUAGAGAAGGUAGGCAGUGCUUGCAAAGGCCUGAGCACUGCCAGAAUGGACUAAUACACUAUGUGAAGACAAAGGGGAUGUCUGCAAGCCAGGACGAGUGCGUCUACCAGCAACUGAGUUCUGCUGGACUUUGAUCUAGGACACCCAGCCUCCAGAAUGGAAUGUGCCAUAUAUGGAGACCUGCAUGGAAAGGAACUGAGGAUGCUCUCUGACUAAAAGCUAGAAGGAACUGAGACCCUCAGUCAACAGUCUACAAGACACUGAAUCUUGCCAGCAGCCAUACAGUGAGCUUGAAAGCAGAUCUAUCCUCAGCUGAACCUUCAGAUGAGACCGCAGCCUAAGCAGACACCUUGGUCGCAGCCAUGUGAGACAACCUGAAACAGAGGGCACAGCUAAGCCUCAGCCAGGAUCAUCACCCUCUGAGGAAACUGUGAGAAAGCAAAUGUCAUUUUAGGCUAUUUAAUUUUGGAGGUAGUUUGUUACACAACAAUAAAUAACUAUUAUAAUUAUCUUGAGGAUUUCCUGGGGAGAAUAAAUGGAAUUGCAUAUAUAGGUCAUCAUAUGCAGAAUACUGGUACCUCAGAGAUGUUCACCCCAGAGAUGUUGUAGGAACCUGUGAAUAUAUUACCUUACAUGGCAAAGUUUUCCUGGAUGGUUUAAGUUUAAGAUGGAAAAGUUUAACUGGAUUAUCCCGUGGGUCCAAUCUAAUAACAAGAGUCCUUAAAAAUGGAGAAUAUUUUUUGGUCAUGAUCAGAGAGACAUGUGAUGAUGGAAGAAGUGUCAGAGAUGCAAUGUGAGCGGACUAAAACUGCUGUUGCUGACUUUAAAGAUGGAGAGAGGGGAACCCGAGUCAAGGAAUGCAAAUGGCCUCUGGAAGCUGGAAAAGGCAAGAAACGGAUUCUCCUUUAGAGCCUCUGGAAAAAAAUGCAGUUAUGCUGACACCUUGAUUUUACCUCAGUGAGACCAAUAAUGGAGUAUGACCUUCGGAGCUGAAUAAAAUUAUACAUACACAUCUUAAUUUCUUGGAAUUUGAUUACUUCUUCUGCUUUGAAAUUAGACCAAGUUUAGCCUGCCUUUGCUAUUUUGGCAUAUCUCCAAUUCUUCGUGAUUUUCUCAUCGCAAAGGCCACAUAAGGACAGUAAGAAGGCAGUCAUCUGCAAGCCAGGAAGAAAGGUCUCACCAGAUACCAACCCUGCCAGCAAGUUGAUCUUGGACUUCCAGCCUCCAAAACUGGCCUUCUACUCACAUGGGCUUCCGUGCACCUGCUUCAGGAGACAGCAACACUUGCGCCCGCACUGCGGCAGGCUCCCAUCACCUGGUGGAUAUGCCGUGCUGAGUCUCAUCACACCUUAGUGAAGGAACACAUGGACCCAUAUGUUAGCGGAUGUGUUUACAUCAUUUUAUACAGAAAGGGGAAAUGGAGUCUUGUUCUGUCACACAUGCUAGAGUCCAGUGGUAUGACCUCGGCUCACUGCAACCUCUGCCUCCCGGGUUCAAAUGAUUCUCCUGCCUCAACCUCCCUGGCAGCUGAGACUACAGGCUUGCACCACCACUCCUGGCUAAUUUUUUUAUUUUUAUUUUUUUAGUACAGAUGGGGUUUCACCAUGUUGGCCAGGCUGGUCUCGAACUCCUGACCUCAAAUGAUCUGCCUGCCUCGGCCUUCCAAAGUGCUGGGAUUACAGGAGUGAGCCACCAUGCCCAGCCUGUUCUUAAGUCUCCUAGAACAGAGAUUCUGAAACACAAAAUUCAUCUGGCAAAGAGUUCUAAGAUGCAUUUCACAACACUCCACAGAAGGAAGGUUGAGAGACAAUCAUCUGCACCAGUGCCCAACUUAAAAACAUCCUUGUAUCAGUUUUCCCUUAUUUCCUGUUCUCCUCCCUAAACCUUCAGUCCUGUUCCUGGCAAUCACUUCCAGAAUAAACCAUAUGCAUGCCUCAGAUUCUGAUCUCAGAGGAUCCCAGACUAAGACAGAGAUACACUAUGCUGAUUGCUUAACCUGCAUUUUCUCAUUUAAUUGAAAUGUAUACGUGGUAAGGUAUUUAUUCAUAUCUGCAUGAUUUUGUAGAGAAAUCUUAGAUAAAUUAACACUUUUCAGAAGGCAAUUAAAGUAACACAGCAAGCAAUUGAUAAAACCUGGAUUCGCCAAGUUAAACUGGUCUGGUUGCAAAACCUGUAUUGUUUCCUAACAUACCACCUAAAUUCUCAAAUGGUAUUGGAACGAGUUAAAUGAGAUUAUAAAUGUAAAAUUCUUGGUAUAGUUAAUUCUCAAAAAUAGGCCUUCAAUCUAUAGAAUCCAUUUGUAGAACUAUCUUCAGGAAGGAAAAAUACAACACCCUCCUCCACCCCACCCUCAAAGAAACAUGGAAAAUUUAAACUGAGACUUCAAAUCUUGAGCUCUGCACAUCUUAGAAUAUUUUGUUUCUAUGAAAAAGAAGCUUUGGAGAAUGUGUAUCAGUCGGAAACACUGUAGAGUGAGCACAGAAAUCAGCCCAUCACAUUAUGCCCCAAAUGCUAAAGUACUGCUGAAUCUGAUUGCCCUGCAUUUUUAAGUGCUGCAAAAUUCUGGGACUUGGGAUCAUCUGUCACUACAGACUUGUCACAUUCUGCUGAAAUAAAACAUAUAGUCUAAUUUGCAAAGUUCUCGUGUGGAAAGAGUCCUAAAAUGUAUAUAACCUCUGUCCCAGCAAUUCCAUUAGGAAUUUAUCCAAUCCAAAAUCUAAAAUGCAGAAGGUCUACAUAUUGAAUGCUUAUGGCAGCAUUCUUUAAAAUUAUGAAAAUUGAAAGCAACCAAAAUCUUCAAAAACAGACUAAUGGCUAAGUAGUAUAACCCAUACUAUGAAAUGUGGUAAUUGAAUAUUCAAAAUUUGUUUUGUAUAAAAAUAUUAUUCAUGGUAUAACAUUUGGCUAUAAAAUAGAAUGAAUUCAAUUGUAUUUUUUAAACCAGUACCUCUGCAUAUUUGUGAACCUAAAAGAUAAGAUGGUAAAUAUUUAACUGUAUUUUUCUUUAAUUGUUGGGGCUGUGAAUUAUUUUAAUUUUCUUAAUACUUUUUAAUCUUCUCUGAAAAUUUUAUAAUAAUCUCUA
This 3238-nucleotide long non-coding RNA is filed under the name Pongo abelii (Sumatran orangutan). RNAcentral's name for it is "lincRNA". Lineage: Eukaryota; Metazoa; Chordata; Mammalia; Primates; Hominidae. The record is from RNAcentral.